Molecule: unclassified non-coding RNA, 220 nt
Filed under: plant metagenome
Description: partial contains small subunit ribosomal RNA, internal transcribed spacer 1, and 5.8S ribosomal RNA
Source: RNAcentral
UUUCCGUAGGUGAACCUGCGGAAGGAUCAUUACAGAGUUCAUGCCCUCACGGGUAGAUCUCCCACCCUUGAAUACUUAUACCUUAGUUGCUUUGGCAGGCCGUGGAAACACCAUGGGCUCCGGCUUAUGCGUGCCUGCCAGAGGAAACAAACUCUGUUUUUAGUGAUGUCUGAGUACUAUAUAAUAGUUAAAACUUUCAACAACGGAUCUCUUGGUUCUG